Molecule: long non-coding RNA, 626 nt
Organism: Cinclus cinclus
Lineage: Eukaryota; Metazoa; Chordata; Aves; Passeriformes; Cinclidae
Exons: 5
Source: RefSeq, a predicted model, not a curated record
ACGGGACCGCCCGGCCCACCGUGGCUGAGGGGACUUGUGCCAGGCCCAGCGACCUUCCCAAAGUCGGGUCCCCAGGCAGGGAAGGGGCUUCCCUGUGCUGGUCCCUGAUGUGACCGGAGGGGCGCAGGGCAGUGGACCCCAGAGUAGAGCAAAGUCAGCAACAGGCGCUUGGCUUUUGCGUUUCUGAAGGUUUUUUUGUGCAAUGAGCAGGUGCUCUAAUAAGCCAUAUAUUUAACUCCUUCUUUUCCUUCAUAAACAUAUAUUCAUACUUGGAUAUGAAGUAUAGAAAAUGCCAGGAUGAAAAGAUAUCAGCAGGUAAAAAAUUGGAAAACUGUUGAAACUCUUUCUGGAUACUGAAUGAUGGCUACAGCCCAGUCCCUUUGUCCAGAGCUGUGGUGGUGCCAGAUUGCUGUGACCCAAGUGCAACAGUCACCACCAUAGGAUCCACUUCCCCAGGGAUGGGUCCUGGUCCAUGUGCCAUACGAGCCAGUUCAAUCAGAACCAAAAGUUAAUGCCCGUUGGCUGAUUUCCAGUGCAUGCCUCCACAGAACAACUGCUGCCUUUAACUGAUGGAGAUCAAGGCUUGAACUGACAAAAGACAUCUGUAUUUUGGAAAACAAAUUAAU